GCCUGAUAUGUUGUGAAGCCCAAAUGCAAGCAAUGUGAGAGGAGAGAGAUUCAGUUUCAAGCCAAACUUCUCACAUUCAGAACUAAAUCAUUCCUCUUAAACCUUGGUCGGAGAAAAGAAUCUCCUCCGCGCCGGAAAUCGCCUCUGGCAGCGGCGGAGGGCCAAACACGUCAACCUUUAUAUCAAUCCCACAGUUUCAAUGUCCUCAACCUAAACCCAUCAUCAAUUCCCUCUGAUUCCUAACCAACAACCCAAAUCGAACCUAAAACCCAUAAGAACCCUAAACGGAUGUUCAUAAAUUAGAUUCCAUCAUGGAGGAAUCAAAGCCUAAUUCAUUAGAGCUUUGAUUCCUCAGGCUCCGAAUCACAUGAUGGUAACAAGAAUUAGGGAAAAGAUGAAUAAAUCCUACCUCUGCAGACGAAGAGCUUCUGAGUUCAAAGGUGGAAUGAGCAGACGGAUCCAUAAAUCUUCAGAAAUUCUUCAAUUCAGGCUGAUGUUGUUUGGAGUUUGAUCAUGAUCUCAAAAUGCUUGAAACUACCAUGAAGGUCCAUGGUGAUAGCUUGAAGAAUCAUAGCCUGCUUGCACAUGAAGAAAGUUUAGCCAUGAAGUCAAAAGAGGAUAUGGGCACAUGAAGAAUCAAAGUGAAAAUAGGAUUAGGACUAGGGAUUAGGUCAGUUGACUUUGGUUAAUUGAUUGACCAAAAAGUCAAUAGUUGACCAAAGUCAAUUAUAGGUCAAAGUCAAUUUUUUGUAUGAAUCUUGUAAUUGGUACUUGUAAAUGAAAUGUACAAUUUUGAAUGGAAAUAGUUGCUUUUGAUUCAA
Molecule: long non-coding RNA, 821 nt
Organism: Lathyrus oleraceus (garden pea)
Lineage: Eukaryota; Viridiplantae; Streptophyta; Magnoliopsida; Fabales; Fabaceae
Exons: 2
Source: RefSeq, a predicted model, not a curated record